Molecule: long non-coding RNA, 980 nt
Organism: Ictalurus furcatus (blue catfish)
Lineage: Eukaryota; Metazoa; Chordata; Actinopteri; Siluriformes; Ictaluridae
Exons: 2
Source: RefSeq, a predicted model, not a curated record
ACACUGAUUACACGUCACAUGACUGAUGAUGAUAGCCGUCAUGGCAUGUUGUUAAAAUUUUAUUCGGGUGUUCUUUUUUUAGAGACUCUCAUACACCAACCAAUCAGCUGAUUCUCAAUACAAACUGCAAAUUAAUAUUAUAGCAAGUGCUGCUUGACAAUCUUUCACCAUCAAGCAUAUAACAUUAACAUAAAAAUAGUUUAUAUAGAAUAUAUUUUUUUUUAAAUCCUAAAUGUGUUACCAGGACUAGUUUUUUUAAAAUAUAUUAUUUGAUAUUAAGGAUUACACCAUGCUUCUCUUGAAUUCUGGAUUGUGAUUGGUCAGAAGGUAUUGAUUAUUUUUCUAUAACAGACAGUAAUGUAGCUGCCAAAUGCAGGAUUAUGUUAAUUUGCUUGGUCUAAUAAGUUAUUGUUUCUAUAGUAACUGCUCCUUCAUAGGGGCUUAUGAGGUUUUUAAAAAAAAUUUUUAAAAAAAUUUAAAUGUUGAUAUGGUGACGUUUUAUGGACAGAAGUUUUAUGGAAGGAGUCUCCAGUGUCAGUGCUUUGUAACAGUCAGAGGUAAAGCUGAAGUUUUCUGACAUCUUCAGAACAGAGGAGUUUACACUCUGCGGUUUUUCAGUAACAUGACAAACUGCGGGGGGGUUUUGUACUUAUUGAAUUUGAAGAGAGAGAAAAAAGUGGCUGGUGAGGGAACGGCUGUUUAUAGCUGCUAUAACGUAAAUGAGAAUAGGAACUAACUUGUUUCAUGGAUGUUAAACAACAUUACAUGUUAUGCUCAUGUUCAUAGAUGGUUUGUUAGCUUUAUGAAAAAGUCUGCACUGACUGUAAACAUGGCAUGUGAGAUUAUGCUGAUGUGAGUAAAGUGUCACAAUGUGUGUACUGACACAGAUUUAUUCUGCUGGCAUGUCUUUUUCCCCAGCGUUACAGUCCCAGAGCAAAUAUCAUUAUAUUACUUGUAAUAAAUGGUUUUGAAACAGUGAA